AGUGAGCGCUGGCGGUAGGCCUAACACAUGCAAGUCGAACGGCAGCACAGUAAGAGCUUGCUCUUACGGGUGGCGAGUGGCGGACGGGUGAGGAAUACAUCGGGAUCUACUUUUUCGUGGGGGAUAACGUAGGGAAACUUACGCUAAUACCGCAUACGACCUACGGGUGAAAGCAGGGGAUCUUCGGACCUUGCGCGAUUGAAUGAGCCGAUGUCGGAUUAGCUAGUUGGCGGGGUAAAGGCCCACCAAGGCGACGAUCCGUAGCUGGUCUGAGAGGAUGGUCGGCCACACUGGAACUGAGACACGGUCAAGACUCCUACGGGAGGCAGCAGUGGGGAAUAUUGGACAAUGGGCGCAAGCCUGAUCCAGCCAUACCGCGUGGGUGAAGAAGGCCUUCGGGUUGUAAAGCCCUUUUGUUGGGAAAGAAAAGCAGCAGGUUAAUACCCCGCUGUUCUGACGGUACCCAAAGAAUAAGCACCGGCUAACUUCGUG
Molecule: ribosomal RNA, 492 nt
Filed under: uncultured bacterium
Lineage: Bacteria
Description: partial 16S ribosomal RNA
Rfam family: Bacterial small subunit ribosomal RNA
Source: RNAcentral